AAAAAAACAAAAAAAACAAAAUGGAAAAAAAGAAAUAUAGGUUUAUCGACCUUUGAAUGAUACCAAAGAAGGUUUGAGAUUCAGUUUUUGAUUGGAUACCGUUAAAUAUUAUUUUCAAAUUUGUCAUGAUGAGUUGAAGUUGACAAACCUUUAGAAAUAUGGAGAAAAACUAUGUAAACUAAUGUAAUUUCAUUAAACAAGAGGGAGCUAAUUGACCAAUGGUCUAAUUCAGUGGAAAAAGACCUUGAUUUGUAAAUCAGUAUUUCAGAUUCGAACUUUCAUGGCGCUGUGCUAGUGUGUGUGAGAAACCCCCUACCCCUUGUAAGCCAAUUUUGAGAUUUUGAGGGUCCUGUGCCAAACUUAAACUCGAGUCUUCGUAUAAUCUAAUAUGAAAAUACUAAAAAAAAUAAAACAAUUUUUUUAUAACUAAAAUUCAUCAUCAAUUAGCAUGUAAUAACAAUCACAAAUCAAAUUCAUAAAUUUUUUAAUGUUUUCAAUUGAUAAAUUUAAAUAUUAGUAUGUUCGGUAAAAACAUAAGAGUUCAAGAGAAAGAACGCAUAAAUUUUUAUUUAUUUAUUUAGGUUUUGUUUUUUAGUAGAAGAAAGUAAUUUUUUUUUUUUUUUUGGGUUUAGGUGUGAU
RNAcentral lists this long non-coding RNA (639 nucleotides) under Prunus persica (peach). RNAcentral describes it as "long non-coding RNA (PPER_LNC004603)". Lineage: Eukaryota; Viridiplantae; Streptophyta; Magnoliopsida; Rosales; Rosaceae. The record is from RNAcentral.